CAUGCAAGUCGAGCGGUAGCACAAGAGAGCUUGCUCUCUGGGUGACGAGCGGCGGACGGGUGAGUAAUGUCUGGGAAACUGCCUGAUGGAGGGGGAUAACUACUGGAAACGGUAGCUAAUACCGCAUAACGUCUUCGGACCAAAGUGGGGGACCUUCGGGCCUCACGCCAUCAGAUGUGCCCAGAUGGGAUUAGCUAGUAGGUGGGGUAAUGGCUCACCUAGGCGACGAUCCCUAGCUGGUCUGAGAGGAUGACCAGCCACACUGGAACUGAGACACGGUCCAGACUCCUACGGGAGGCAGCAGUGGGGAAUAUUGCACAAUGGGCGCAAGCCUGAUGCAGCCAUGCCGCGUGUGUGAAGAAGGCCUUCGGGUUGUAAAGCACUUUCAGCGAGGAGGAAGGGUUCAGUGUUAAUAGCACUGUUCAUUGACGUUACUCGCAGAAGAAGCACCGGCUAACUCCGUGCCAGCAGCCGCGGUAAUACGGAGGGUGCAAGCGUUAAUCGGAAUUACUGGGCGUAAAGCGCACGCAGGCGGUUUGUUAAGUCAGAUGUGAAAUCCCCGCGCUUAACGUGGGAACUGCAUUUGAAACUGGCAAGCUAGAGUCUUGUAGAGGGGGGUAGAAUUCCAGGUGUAGCGGUGAAAUGCGUAGAGAUCUGGAGGAAUACCGGUGGCGAAGGCGGCCCCCUGGACAAAGACUGACGCUCAGGUGCGAAAGCGUGGGGAGCAAACAGGAUUAGAUACCCUGGUAGUCCACGCUGUAAACGAUGUCGACUUGGAGGUUGUGCCCUUGAGGCGUGGCUUCCGGAGCUAACGCGUUAAGUCGACCGCCUGGGGAGUACGGCCGCAAGGUUAAAACUCAAAUGAAUUGACGGGGGCCCGCACAAGCGGUGGAGCAUGUGGUUUAAUUCGAUGCAACGCGAAGAACCUUACCUACUCUUGACAUCCACAGAAUUCGGCAGAGAUGCCUUAGUGCCUUCGGGAACUGUGAGACAGGUGCUGCAUGGCUGUCGUCAGCUCGUGUUGUGAAAUGUUGGGUUAAGUCCCGCAACGAAGCGCAACCCUUAUCCUUUGUUGCCACCACGUAAUGGUGGGAACUCAAAGGAAA
RNAcentral lists this ribosomal RNA (1106 nucleotides) under Serratia sp. UA-JF0212. RNAcentral describes it as "bacterial SSU rRNA". It matches the Rfam family "Bacterial small subunit ribosomal RNA", at positions 54 to 1148 of the family's 1533-position model. The record is from RNAcentral. Lineage: Bacteria; Pseudomonadati; Pseudomonadota; Gammaproteobacteria; Enterobacterales; Yersiniaceae.